GCUGGGGCAAUUAAUUUGUUGCCCUCUUUAUGCCUUCCAAUUGAUCAGUAUAAAUGUCUUCGAUUGAGUACUCGUUUCCUGCAACUCAGAUUAUCUUCACCGGCGGUCCUUUCCCGAACUCCAUGAUUCGAGAUCUCCCCUAUGUCCCUCGGUUAGAAGGGUUCGGUUGGUCCCAGAUUCACAAUCUGCAUGCUUAUUGUUUUCUUUAAAUUUGCAGAGCCAUCUGGGAUUUCUCCCUUUCUCUCUCACGAUCUGGGUGAAUCCUCCUAGGUGUGCUACCUCCUCCAACACCCCACCAGUCACGUUCUCUCAACUGCCGCAGUGGAACGCGAGCGCAAAUGCGGCACCCCUCCUGCAAUCUUCUCCAUUACCGAUUCUUAUAAGCCACUAAGCUGAUUAUAAUUGUUGACUUUGCAGGUUAUCAGGGUGGAGGCAGUUGAUGUUGCAAGGCAAGUUGCAUAAAAGAGGGCUACGGCUUAUAGAUCUUGUUUCCUCUGAAUUCAAGUAAUAUGGUACGAACUGUCCUUAUUUUGGAAAGUAUAACAAGGAAUUUUUAGAGUGUAGGAUGGACAGCUCAAAUGAAAACAUAGGAGAUACACUACAUAAAUGCUAAAAAAAUUACAAAUCAUGAACUGGUAAAAACAUUAUACCAACUGUAAAUAACUCUAGAAACACCAUGCAAUGAAAAGGAUGACUCCACCUUGCUAGGCUGUGCCGAGGACUUGCAAAGAAUGUGUAUGUUACUUCCCCACAGCUUCUUCAGUAUGCCAUUUUUCCUCGAAUGUGCAUAAAGAGGGCUUGCUGGUAGGCAACUGCACAAAUAAAUAUAUUGCUAUUGAGUAAUCAGUAUGGGAUUUUGCUUGUGGUAGCAUUUGCGUCAAAAUCUCCAAAUUGAGAUUCAUUACUUUUUAAGUUGUUUGUUUUUACAUGUUGGUAUGUUGUCCGGUGCAGCAGCAGUAGGUACUAUGAACAUGGCCAAAAUAUCUGAAAUGCAGGAAAGCUGAUUGUGGUUCUUGUGGUUUGCAAUAUGAUAGACUCGACAUGGGAAACAAAUCAUGCAUGUGAACGGUAUGCACUGAUUGAGAAAGAACAUGUAUGUCCUUUACGUUUGGAGAUCUGAAUACUGAUGCGAAAAUAUUCAAGGUUAGUUAUGCCUGAUCUGAUUAAUCAACCUACACUUUAUUUCAAUCUUGUUGUGUAUAACUGUCUGCUUCCAAUUGGAUAUGGUUCUUGAGGUAAAUAACUAAAUGAUAAGGGUAUUGGAAAUGAUCUGUGUAAAUAACUGUCCACUUCCAAUUAGAUGUGGUUGGCUAUAUCCUACUCUGUAGCUUGGCUAUUACUCAUUUCAAGUCUGUUGGCACGCUCACAUGUUUAUCUACAUCACUGUGGCAGAACAAGAAAAUCGAUUCCGGGUAUGAAUUCAGUACAACUGAUGUGAUGCUAAUUGCAUAAUAAAACUUCUGGUUGAGCAAUCUUUUUUCUCUCACCGUACUCUUGUUAGUGUUGCCUAGGUCAAUUUAUGUGGUUGUCAUCAUGACAUGGAAAGCAGAGGGACUAUGCUCCAGGAGACCAGGAGCCCCUCUAGCGCCUGCAACGUGGAGAUGGAUGUUACUAAUUACCAGACAGGAAGAUGGUUCCACUAUACAUUUGAAUGAUGAAGCUGGCACAGAACAGUGUGUUGGUAAGCUUCCAUGUUUCUGUGUUCAAUAGAAGAACAUUAU
Molecule: long non-coding RNA, 1721 nt
Organism: Lolium rigidum
Lineage: Eukaryota; Viridiplantae; Streptophyta; Magnoliopsida; Poales; Poaceae
Exons: 3
Source: RefSeq, a predicted model, not a curated record